AUGCCUGGUCCGGUGCCUGAAUCAUGGCCGGGUCUGAUUGGUGUUGAAGUGAAUGCAGCAGUUCAAAUCAUCUCUCGGGAGAGGCCUGAUAUCAGAAUUGCCCGAGUACUCCCUCCAGGAGAGGCUCCAUCCCCACCGCCACAAGACCAAGUACGCGUUAUCAUUUACAACGAUGUCAGCCAGGGCAGAUAUGUGGUUGUUCCUCCUGCACCAUACAUUGGCUAG
This 225-nucleotide ribosomal RNA is filed under the name Triticum aestivum (bread wheat). RNAcentral's name for it is "partial small subunit ribosomal RNA". Lineage: Eukaryota; Viridiplantae; Streptophyta; Magnoliopsida; Poales; Poaceae. The record is from RNAcentral.